This 488-nucleotide ribosomal RNA is filed under the name uncultured bacterium. RNAcentral's name for it is "bacterial SSU rRNA". It matches the Rfam family "Bacterial small subunit ribosomal RNA", at positions 501 to 985 of the family's 1533-position model. The record is from RNAcentral.
CUACGUGCCAGCAGCCGCGGUAAUACGUAGGGCGCGAGCGUUGUCCGGAAUUAUUGGGCGUAAAGAGCUUGUAGGCGGUUUGUCGCGUCUGCUGUGAAAGGCCGGGGCUUAACCCCGUGUAUUGCAGUGGGUACAGGCAGACUAGAGUGCAGUAGGGGAGACUGGAAUUCCUGGUGUAGCGGUGGAAUGCGCAGAUAUCAGGAGGAACACCGAUGGCGAAGGCAGGUCUCUGGGCUGUAACUGACGCUGAGAAGCGAAAGCAUGGGGAGCGAACAGGAUUAGAUACCCUGGUAGUCCAUGCCGUAAACGUUGGGCACUAGGUGUGGGGGACAUUCCACGUUUUCCGCGCCGUAGCUAACGCAUUAAGUGCCCCGCCUGGGGAGUACGGCCGCAAGGCUAAAACUCAAAGAAAUUGACGGGGGCCCGCACAAGCGGCGGAGCAUGCGGAUUAAUUCGAUGCAACGCGAAGAACCUUACCAAGGCUUGAC